This 364-nucleotide ribosomal RNA is filed under the name uncultured bacterium. RNAcentral's name for it is "bacterial SSU rRNA". It matches the Rfam family "Bacterial small subunit ribosomal RNA", at positions 956 to 1319 of the family's 1533-position model. The record is from RNAcentral.
GCAACGCGAAGAACCUUACCUACCCUUGACAUGUACGGAACUUGCCAGAGAUGGCUUGGUGCUCGAAAGAGAGCCGUAACACAGGUGCUGCAUGGCUGUCGUCAGCUCGUGUCGUGAGAUGUUGGGUUAAGUCCCGCAACGAGCGCAACCCUUGUCAUUAAUUGCCAUCAUUCAGUUGGGCACUUUAAUGAGACUGCCGGUGAUAAACCGGAGGAAGGUGGGGAUGACGUCAAGUCCUCAUGGCCCUUAUGGGUAGGGCUUCACACGUAAUACAAUGGCGCGUACAGAGGGUUGCCAACCCGCGAGGGGGAGCUAAUCUCAGAAAGCGCGUCGUAGUCCGGAUUGGAGUCUGCAACUCGACUCC